UAUGGCGACCGGCGCACGGGUGAGCAACACGUAUCCAACCUGCCGAUGACUCGGGGAUAGCCUUUCGAAAGAAAGAUUAAUACCCGAUGGCAUAGUUCUUCCGCAUGGUAGAACUAUUAAAGAAUUUCGGUCAUCGAUGGGGAUGCGUUCCAUUAGGUUGUUGGCGGGGUAACGGCCCACCAAGCCUUCGAUGGAUAGGGGUUCUGAGAGGAAGGUCCCCCACAUUGGAACUGAGACACGGUCCAA
This 246-nucleotide ribosomal RNA is filed under the name uncultured bacterium. RNAcentral describes it as "partial 16S ribosomal RNA". It matches the Rfam family "Bacterial small subunit ribosomal RNA", at positions 87 to 334 of the family's 1533-position model. The record is from RNAcentral.